GAUGAAGAACGCAGCGAAAUGCGAUAGGUAAUGUGAAUUGCAGAAUUCAGUGAAUCAUCGAAUCUUUGAACGCACCUUGCGCUCCCUGGUAUUCCGGGGAGCACGCCUGUUCGAGUGUCGCGAAAUUCUUCAAGCCUUGGAUGGAUUUUUUUUUGUCUGUCCUUGGGCUUGGUUGUUGGGCUCUGCCGUGUCCUUCAUUGGGACGGCUGGCCUUAAAAGCAUUAGCCGAUCCUCGUGUGGUACUGGUUCUACUCAGCGUGAUAACAAUCUGAUCGUUGAGGACAUCUUCUGGAUGGCCAGUCAUCAUUUGGGUUGCUUCUAAACCGGUUUCGCAGAUUGCUCAAUCUGUGUGCCACUUUUCAGCUUUGACCUCGAAUCAGGUGGGACUACCCGCUGAACUUAAGCAUAUCAAUAAGCGGAGGA
RNAcentral lists this unclassified non-coding RNA (423 nucleotides) under soil metagenome. RNAcentral describes it as "partial contains 5.8S ribosomal RNA, internal transcribed spacer 2, and large subunit ribosomal RNA". The stretch from base 1 to 120 matches the Rfam family "5.8S ribosomal RNA", at positions 35 to 154 of the family's 154-position model. The record is from RNAcentral.